AGGAUGAACGCUGGCGGUCUGCUUAACACAUGCAAGUCGAACGGAGUAGCAAUACUUAGUGGCGGACGGGUGAGUAACGCGUGAGAAUCUACCUUCAGGACGGAGACAACAGUUGGAAACGACUGCUAACCCCCGAUGUACCGAAAGGGCAAAUAUUUAUAGCCUGAAGAAGAGCUCGCGUCCGAUUAGCUAGUUGGAGAGGUAAAAGCUCACCAAGGCGACGAUCGGUAGCUGGUCUGAGAGGAUGAUCAGCCACACUGGGACUGAGACACGGCCCAGACUCCUACGGGAGGCAGCAGUGGGAAUUUUCCGCAAUGGGCGAAAGCCUGACGGAGCAAGACCGCGUGAGGGAGGAAGGCUCUUGGGUUGUAAACCUCUUUUCUUGGGGAAGAACAAAAUGACGGUACCCAAGGAAUCAGCAUCGGCUAACUCCGUGCCAGCAGCCGC
RNAcentral lists this ribosomal RNA (447 nucleotides) under uncultured bacterium. RNAcentral describes it as "SSU rRNA". It matches the Rfam family "Bacterial small subunit ribosomal RNA", at positions 26 to 518 of the family's 1533-position model. The record is from RNAcentral.